RNAcentral lists this microRNA precursor (79 nucleotides) under Macaca nemestrina (pig-tailed macaque). Its description in RNAcentral is "miRNA (ENSMNEG00000022060.1)". Lineage: Eukaryota; Metazoa; Chordata; Mammalia; Primates; Cercopithecidae. The record is from RNAcentral.
GGAGAAUCGCUUGAGCCUGGGAGGUGGAGGUUGCAGUGAGCUGAGAUCACGCCACUGCACUCCAGCCUGGGCAACAGAG